CCUACGGGUGGCAGCAGUGGGGAAUAUUGCACAAUGGGGGAAACCCUGAUGCAGCGACGCCGCGUUAGUGAAGAAGUAUUUCGGUAUGUAAAGCUCUAUCAGCAGGAACGAGACAAGACGGUACCUGACUAAGAAGCCCCGGCUAACUACGUGCCAGCAGCCGCGGUAAUACGGAGGGGGCAAGCGUUAUCCGGAAUCACUGGGUGUAAAGGGAGCGUAGACGGCUGGGCAAGGCUGAAGUGAAAGGUGGGGGCCCAACCCCUGGACUGCUUUGGGAACUGUACGGCUGGAGUGCAGGAGAGGUAAGUGGAAUUCCUAGUGGAGCCGUGAAAUGCGUAGAUAUUAGGAGGAACACCAGUGGCGAAGGCGGCUUACUGGACUGUAACUGACGUUGAGGCUCGAACGCGUGGGGAGCAAACAGGAUUAGAUACCCCUGUAGUC
This 441-nucleotide ribosomal RNA is filed under the name uncultured bacterium. Its description in RNAcentral is "partial 16S ribosomal RNA". It matches the Rfam family "Bacterial small subunit ribosomal RNA", at positions 338 to 795 of the family's 1533-position model. The record is from RNAcentral.